GGAAGAAGUGAAAUCACUAUAUUUAGAAACGAAUGCUACCAUCCCACCCCAACUACAUGUUCAGGUUAAAUGCGUGCACAUCCUGGUAGCUGGAACAUCUGUUUCUAGCUUGUUGUUCCUCUUGGCUGCUUUUCAAUUGGAUUUCCUCGAGCAGGUCCCAGGCUUGUCACUGCAGCCAGGGUCUGUUAACCAUCACCACUGGUUCUACAUUAAGUAGGAGGUUCAGGGCUAAGCUAAUAACUCGCCUGCCUUUCUGACUGAUCACAGUGAUGUUCGCCGUGGCCACUUAUCAUGCGGGCUCCUUUGGGAGGGUGCUCUUCUUUGUCUGUACCUCUGGGUGGAAUUGGUUUUGU
RNAcentral lists this long non-coding RNA (353 nucleotides) under Homo sapiens (human). RNAcentral describes it as "non-protein coding lnc-ZNF281-2:1". Lineage: Eukaryota; Metazoa; Chordata; Mammalia; Primates; Hominidae. The record is from RNAcentral.